This 319-nucleotide long non-coding RNA is filed under the name Zea mays. Its description in RNAcentral is "long non-coding RNA (ZMAY_LNC003682)". The record is from RNAcentral. Lineage: Eukaryota; Viridiplantae; Streptophyta; Magnoliopsida; Poales; Poaceae.
ACAUCGUCGUCGGAUCGGAGAUGAUGAGUUCCGUCGUCGUGGAUGCUGCUGCUACCAGCAGCAGCGAGAAGAAGACGUCGUGGCCGGAGGUGGUGGGCAUGUCCAUCAAGGAGGCGACGGAGACUAUUCUCAAGGACAUGCCCAACGCGUACAUCCAGGUGCUGCCUGUUGGGUCGCCCGUGACGCUGGACCUUCGCCCCGACCGCGUCCGUAUCUUCGUUGACACCGUCGCCAUGACUCCGACAGUUGGGUGAUACAUACCAAAUGCAAUAAACAAACCCUACUUUUUAUUUUAUGUUUCCAGUUAAUAAUAAACCAG